This is a long non-coding RNA of Mytilus californianus (California mussel), 966 nucleotides long. RefSeq lists it as uncharacterized. NCBI's taxonomy places the organism in Eukaryota, Metazoa, Mollusca, Bivalvia, Mytilida, Mytilidae. The record is from RefSeq and is a predicted model, not a curated record. The transcript is spliced from 2 exons.
GUACCCGUUUUUAAGUACGGUUAAAUAACGACUUCAUUAUUAACCUAGUUUAAGUGAUAGCUUUUUUUUCCGUUAUGGGUACGGUCAGACGCAGAUCAAAAGGACAACCACAAGUGCAAUACGACCUCGAAUUGAAAGAAAAUUUGACUCUAUAAAGACUUCGUCAAAGUGCCAAAAAACGCAAAGAGGUUGACUUUAGUGAGAAUUCUCAAAAGUGUUGAAGACUUUUCUCGUAGUGACAAUAUAGCGGAAACAGCGGAUAAUAUUGCAGAUACAGCAGAUGAAGCGACAACUAUAUAUGGUGGUACGCGAUCCCAUGAUGAAACAGUUCGUAUUCAAGAGGAACACGUGGUUUCAACUUCCACUCCAUCAAAUGAGGGAAGAACUUUAAUAAACUUAGUGUCGAGACUAUCGUCCACCGUACAGUCUCUCCAGCAGAACGUAUCUUCUUUAAACGGGAAGGUGGACUCCCUAUUAGUGGUCCAACCAACUACUCGACAGGAAGAGGUAGCUGUUUCUACUUUCACUUCAACCGGAAGUCAUCGUGGUGAAGAUGUAAACAACUCGGGGAAUUCCCAUAACCUGGAGUCUGCAUACGCAUCCUUCAAUAGGAAUACUAUACCAGCAGCGGCAGCUGGAAGCGAAAACCAGGAAGCGAGAAGUGUACGAACGGCAAGGGGAUAUUCGGCGGAAACACUGCCAUUCGUGGAGACAAUUUCUCCCCAGCUGAGGAAGAACAUCAUUUCAGAUGGAGAAAUUUCGAAAGCUGGCACCAAAAGCAGAUCAAGAACCCACACCUUGCCUAGCACCAGCCCUUUUGAUGAUGGUCUAACUAAGCAAGUUGAGGAACUGUGGGAGGCAUUCUUAUGUAUAAGUACUAGAAAGACUUAUAAUUCUGGCUUUCUAUGUUUUAAAACAUUUAUGGCUAUGACUUAUCAGAAUCAUAUAAAUAGUGUGCCAAUAAUA